AGAGUUUGAUCCUGGCUCAGAACGAACGCUGGCGGCAGGCCUAACACAUGCAAGUCGAGCGAACCGCAAGGUUAGCGGCGGACGGGUUAGUAACGCGUGGGAAUAUGCCCAAAGGUACGGAAUAGCCCAGGGAAACUUGGAGUAAUACCGUAUGUGCCCUUCGGGGGAAAGAUUUAUCGCCUUUGGAUUAGCCCGCGUUGGAUUAGGUAGUUGGUGGGGUAAUGGCCUACCAAGCCGACGAUCCAUAGCUGGUUUGAGAGGAUGAUCAGCAACACUGGGACUGAGACACGGCCCAGACUCCUACGGGAGGCAGCAGUGGGGAAUCUUAGACAAUGGGGGAAACCCUGAUCUAGCCAUGCCGCGUGGACGAUGAAGGCCUUAGGGUUGUAAAGUCCUUUCAGCUGGGAAGAUAAUGACGUACCAGCAGAAGAGCCCC
Molecule: ribosomal RNA, 436 nt
Filed under: uncultured Rhodobacter sp.
Lineage: Bacteria; Pseudomonadati; Pseudomonadota; Alphaproteobacteria; Rhodobacterales
Description: bacterial SSU rRNA
Rfam family: Bacterial small subunit ribosomal RNA
Source: RNAcentral